CAACUCAUGUAGCUCGUGCCUGAGCAAGUCGUUAUCAUUACCUGUCGUCACGUCAUUUUUGCGCCACUGGGACAUUCAACGCCAACGCAAUCGGCGGCCGUUUUACGUACGGCUGUACACCUCGGCUGCUCCUAUUCGUAUUCGUCCAAUUGCUAUAGUGUUCCCGAAAAAAGCUGCCUCAUCUGCAUUUGCGAGCCCGCAGAGACGCCAACACGCAAUAGACACACCUCGACAACUACGAUAGAUUUGGUCGAAUCAGAGAAGAAAAUAUAUGUGACAAAUUACUUCAUAUUCAGACCUGUUUCAAUGGGAAUGAAAGAAAAGAUUUGCCUGGUGAUGAGGUUGGAGACGUCGUGCACACUUCGAUCUACCGUUUACAGAAAUCCAUCAGUAUGCUGACGUCAAAACGAUAGUGACAUUUCGGGCUACGGGAUAUACUGUUGAACUGUUGAAAGUCAACUGUCAGCACUAUACAAGAGACAGGCUCGCAGAGCUCAAACUAGCCACAUGGACGGUACUCUAAAAUAGGGUCAAGGUGUUGACGUCCAGCCGAAUGAUUGGCGCUUUUGAUACGGAGCUACAUGGGCACGUUCGUUGACGACCAUGUGUUCCACGAGUGACGCGUCAUUUAUAUCACCCUGAACAAAUGCACCUGCGCAUUGACACAUGAUAUACACAAGCUAACUAGAGUUAAGGCAGAGGAACUCGACGGGUUUC
Long non-coding RNA from Varroa destructor (honeybee mite), 717 nucleotides. The record is from RefSeq and is a predicted model, not a curated record. NCBI's taxonomy places the organism in Eukaryota, Metazoa, Arthropoda, Arachnida, Mesostigmata, Varroidae.